Molecule: non-coding RNA, 85 nt
Organism: Felis catus (domestic cat)
Lineage: Eukaryota; Metazoa; Chordata; Mammalia; Carnivora; Felidae
Source: Rfam
GCCUGGGGGGCUCAGUCGGUUGAGCGCCUGACUUCGGCUCAGGUCAUGAUCUCGCGGUUUGUGAGCUCGAGCCCCGCAUCGGGCU